CCCUUAGAUGUUCUGGGCUGCACGCGCGCUACAAUGGCGUUUUCAAAAAGACUGCUAAUCCGAAAGGACAAGCGGAUCUUCGAAGUGGCGUCGUGAUCGGGACAGUUGAUUGCAAUUAUUCGACUCGAACGAGGAAUUCCUUGUAAUCGUGCGUCAUCAGCGCACGCUGAAUACGUCCCUGUUCUUUGUACACACCGCCCGUCGCUCCUACCGAUCGAGCGAUCCAAUGAAUGUUUCGGAGCGGAUCUGCGAUGCUACGCGUCUCUUAUUCGCGAAUUUGUGUGAAUUUGAUCGCUUAGAGGAAGGAGAANUCGUAACA
This 319-nucleotide ribosomal RNA is filed under the name uncultured eukaryote. RNAcentral's name for it is "partial 18S ribosomal RNA". It matches the Rfam family "Eukaryotic small subunit ribosomal RNA", at positions 1470 to 1796 of the family's 1831-position model. The record is from RNAcentral.